GGAUUUCACUGGACUAUAUUAAGAUGAGAUAGAACUCUUCAAAUAUUUGAAGAACUGCAAUGUAGCCAAGGAAGGAGUUAGUACAGAAGGCAAAAUCAAAACCAGUGGUUGAAAGAAGAUGUCUCAACCUCUUAUGGAAUCUUUAUGAACAAGUAGAAUUGCCCUGCAGUCGAAAGGCUGCUUUGUGAAGUGUAGAGUUACUCUUCCUUGGAGGUCUUCACGCUAGGUCCUUCAGGCUAAGCAUUGGAUGUUGGAGAAGGGAUUUCUAUACCCUUUUAGCUAUUGGACUAAAUCACCUCUGUGCUUCCUUUCAAUUCUUAAGUGCUAAGACCCCAGGAUUCAAGCCUAGAGGAUGAAAAGGUGAGCCCAGACCUGUUCCUUCUAGUUUUAUUAUUUUGAUAGCCAAAGAAAUAGGUCAUCAGAUUAUUCAUGAGCUAAAGGCUAUUUGGGAUUUUUUUAAGCCAAGAAGACGGUGGGGUAUGAUUUCCCAGUGCAGUAAAUGAGAAAAUAAAGGAGCGAUAUCAGGAAGGAAAAAAGAAAGAGGAGAAAAAAGAAAUGCAUGGAGGGAGGACCAGAGGUUGAAUGAGGGAAAUGAGAUGAUUUUGCAGAGGGCAGAUCUAGUCUAUCAAAGUUUUCACGAGUUCAGCUUUGGAAAGGGUUCCAAACACAAUGUCAAUCCAAGUAAGUGAGCAGUCUUUUAUACUGGGAAAUAGGGCCAGGGAAGCAAAGCUCCUUCCAAUUUAAACACUCUCAAAAGGAUAUGUAAUUGCUUUCUGAUGGGAGGGGCCUCUGCAGGUGGGAAGGCUAUUGUUACCACAGACCAUUUGUCCCCUGAGAGAGAGCCUCUGAGGACUCUGAGGACUGACCAUCCCGCUAAGACUGCUGGCUGCAGAAGAAAAAGACUUUAAGCCGCUUGAGGAGGAUAGAGGUGGAUUUUCAAUCAUAUCCCCAGGGCAGGGGAGAGAGUGUUUGGGGAACAAUAGGACCAGGUUCAUGUAAAGGGGGCCAGCACUGUGUCGACAGAGCCUCAGCCUUAGGGAAACUGCACUUCGGAAAAGGAACUCAGCUAACUGUAUGGCCUGGUGAGUGGGUUAUUUUCUACUCCAGGGAAACAUUACUGUGAAGAAACUGAAAAGAGAGAUGAGUGAAUUCCCUUAGUCUUAAAACUAAGGGAACAUGUGUACUGCCCUUCCUGGAGGACCCUCCUUCCUAGGUAGACUGGGAUGGGGAGGUGGAAGGAAGGUCAAGAUGACCUAGGGGCCCUUUUAGGAACUUGAGAAUCUGAAAGCAGACUGUUCAUCCCUGCAAAGGUCAAAAAAGAAGGGCAAUCCCACUAGCAUGUGUGAGGCUUCUCAAAACACACAUUCUGGCUCAUACCCAAUGCUUGAGGAAGGAUUUGGUCAAAUUGGAAGAUAGGUUUACAAGGCUUAUUUUCGUUGAGUGCUCUGAUUCUUGGUUAUCUCCCUGUUAGAAGCUCCAUCAACUAUUAUACUCCUUUCUUAUCAAGAAUGGCUUCUCCAUCGUACUCCGUAAACUUUCCCCAAGAAACCUCUUCACACUCUUCCUUAAUACUAGCCUCACCAGUGGAAGUUCUAAUAUAGCUAGAGAGUCUGGGCUUGAAUGUUGGACCAAGGAAAGUAGAGCUGAUCCACAGUGCAGAGCAGCUUGUAGAGCCCAGGUGGACCAACUGACGUAUCCUUCCUCUCUUUGGCAUCUUCUUUGGGCACUAAAUUGAAUAUAGAGACCCUAAUGUGCAUGCCCGUGUGUGAUUGUGUUCAUCAGCAUUUCCACUCUGAAAAUACAAAUAGCCUGUUCCAAAAGGUUUCCGUGGCUUAUAGGGCUUCCUGUUCUCAGGGUUUUUUGUGGGUUAAAAAAUGGCAAGGCUAUGGUUGAGAACUAUUAUCUUCACUCAUAAAUCCAGGUCCAAAAAGUCAAAGCAGAGAAGUAAAUAUAUGAGCAGUCUAGACCCAAAUAUGUGCCUACUUAUGGGCAUUCUAGCUCUAUAAAGCAGGUACAGCACUUACAGGCAGGAUUACCCUAAACAUUACAACUCCUCCACUUUGUCAAUGCUUUCAGAAAUGUCCUUUGUCAAGUAUCUGCACAGUGUGAUUUCUUUGGUCCCUGUGGGUUUUGAUAGGCCUCAAAUCACCAGGCGACCAAUGCUGCAGGAAACAAGCUAAUUUUUAGAGAAACCAGGUGUUAGUCAACCCAAUGAAUACUGAGGCUUGAGCCACAAUUCUGCUCUAACAUUGAAGCAAGAGCCUACCCAUUAAUGUUCUGUGUUGACCCAAAUUAACAUGUCUCAAACCUGCCUUAAAAAUAUUUAGUCUUGCUCUUAUGCGUAAGCACAUAUGUAUAUACAAAAUCAGUAUGGAUAAAAGAUAUUGCUACCUUGAUAUUUUCCAGAGCCCAUCUUCUUAAGAGAAGGAAAACAAUUAAGUUACUUUUCUUAUUUCUUCACAUCUCUUAUCUGAUUGUCUCAAGAGGCAAAGGACAGUGGGAAGGUGUGAUUCUCUCUAUUCAGAGUGGUAAGUGAUUUGAACAUGGACACAAUAGCAGGCAAGGACCCAUGUUUUCUAAGAUUCAAUAUAUUGCUGUCUAUAUCAGGCUGCAACUUCUAUAACCAGCAUUCUGAUUUAUCUCCUCAGACCCUCAUUUUUCCCAAUUAAUGCAACUGAAACAUUGGUAACUCUUAUCUCCCAGCUCACAGAAAGCAUAUGAGGAUUAAAAAAACAUUGCUCUGAGAAAGAAUUGAACUGGAGCUUCGCUUGGCUUUUUUGCAGGGACAAGGGGUCAUAGGGAGAGAAGUAUUGUUUUUGUUGCUUAUGUUCCCCUUUUUCAAUGGGGAAGGGAAUAAGAAAAGAAGGGAUAUUUGAAAAGCAAGGUGAUGUGAUCAAUACAUAAAUGUGGAUGAAAUAAAUCAUUAAGGCAUUCAAAUAGGAGCCAAAAGACAAUGUGAAUCCAGCUCAGCCACUCGCCAAGUUCGUGGCCAUGGGAAGAUCACUCAAACUCUCUAAGGCUUAGUUCAUCUAUAACAUGAGAUAAUGAUUCCAGUUCUGCCUAGUUCAAAGGAUUUUGUGAGAUCCAAACAAGAUGAUAUAUGUGAAAUCCCUUUGAAAAGUAUGGGAGGUUGAAUGCUUCAUAAUUUUUAAGAAGUUAGAUUUUAUGAAAAAUUCCAUUGAAGGGUAAGCCUGAGGGGUAAGCAAGUUUAACAGACGUCAGUUAUGGCAAAGAAAGGGUUGAAUUGGCCUAUUAGGUGAACUCUUCCUAUUAUGAGAAAAUAGAACA
RNAcentral lists this long non-coding RNA (3288 nucleotides) under Canis lupus familiaris (dog). RNAcentral's name for it is "lncRNA (ENSCAFG00000054216.1)". Lineage: Eukaryota; Metazoa; Chordata; Mammalia; Carnivora; Canidae. The record is from RNAcentral.